AUCUCACAACCAUAAAGUCUCAAUAUGGUGAGAUCUCACAACCAUAAAGGACAAUAUGGUGAGAUCUCACAACCAUAAAGUCUCAAUAUGGUGAGAUCUCACAACCAUAAAAUCUCAAUAUGGUGAGAUCUCACAACCAUAAAGGACAAUAUGGUGAGAUCUCACAACCAUAAAGGACAAUAUGGUGAGAUCUCACAACCAUAAAGUCUCAAUAUGGUGAGAUCUCACAACCAUAAAGGACAAUAUGGUGAGAUCUCACAACCAUAAAGGACAAUAUGGUGAGAUCUCACAACCAUAAAGUCUCAAUAUGGUGAGAUCUCACAACCAUAAAGGACAAUAUGGUGAGAUCUCACAACCAUAAUGUCUCAAUAUGGUGAGAUCUCACAACCAUAAAGUCUCAAUAUGGUGAGAUCUCACAACCAUAAAGUCUCAAUAUGGUGAGAUCUCACAACCAUAAUGUCUCAAUAUGGUGAGAUCUCACAACCAUAAAGUCUCAAUAUGGUGAGAUCUCACAACCAUAAUGUCUCAAUAUGGUGAGAUCUCACCACCAUAAAGGACAAUAUGGUGAGAUCUCACAACCAUAAAGUCUCAAUAUGGUGAGAUCUCACAACCAUAAAGUCUCAAUAUGGUGAGAUCUCACAACCAUAAAGUCUCAAUAUGGUGAGAUCUCACAACC
Molecule: long non-coding RNA, 676 nt
Organism: Oncorhynchus keta (chum salmon)
Lineage: Eukaryota; Metazoa; Chordata; Actinopteri; Salmoniformes; Salmonidae
Exons: 3
Source: RefSeq, a predicted model, not a curated record